This 902-nucleotide long non-coding RNA is filed under the name Nicotiana benthamiana. RNAcentral describes it as "long non-coding RNA (NBEN_LNC018850)". The record is from RNAcentral. Lineage: Eukaryota; Viridiplantae; Streptophyta; Magnoliopsida; Solanales; Solanaceae.
CCGUUGCUUCUCCUUGAUUUCCUUUCUUCAGCAAAUGUAUGUAGUAAAGACUUGCUCCUUGAAUGUUCAUUCUUUCCAAAAUUAGUUGUGUACCAUUCUCUUCAGGAUCUUUGACUUUCCGUAAUGCUAUCCUUAAUUUGUGCCCUAACUUUAGGAGGAUCUUCGAUUGUCCAAAGUUAGUCGCGAGCUUGAUUCUCUUUAUCGAAGCUGAUUGAUAUUUUAUGCUGACUGAUUGGAUUUAUAGGAUUCUUCCAAGAUUCGCGAAUUCUUUCCCUAGUAGAACAGAUUUGCUGAUUUUAUUGUUGAGCCUUGAUUUAUUUCUUCCCUUAUAUGUCAGGAUUUACUCCAACAGUCUUGUAGUAUCCUCUUGACUCCAAAUAAUUGAUUUUCUGCAUAAACCUGCUCCUUGAAUGUUGGUUCUUUCCAAAAUUAGUCGCGUACCAUCUCUUCAGGAUCUUCGACUUUCUGAAAUGUUGUCCUUGAUUCAUGCCAUAACUUUAGGAGGAUCUUCGACUCUCCAAAGAUAGUCGCGAGCUUGAUUCUCUCAAUUGCAGCUGAUUGAUAUUUUAUGUUGAUUGAUCAGUUUGAUAGGAUUCUUCCGAGAUUCGCGAAUCCUUUCCUUAGAAAGCCAUAAUUGCUGAUCUUGUUCUUGAGCCUUGAUUUAUUUCUUUCCUUAUAUGUCCAGAUUUACUCCAGAAGUCUAGUAGUAAACUCUUGACUCCUUAUAAUUAAUCCUACAUAUGUAUAGUAUUUUCAUCAUUAAAACUAUAUCUAACAAUCUCCCUAGCCCCUUUUGGCCCUUUUCUAUGAUGACAAAAUAAUAUACAAUACUAAACACAAGUCAACUUCCCUUUAAGUUACUCCUUAUCAACGUAUGCUGCUGAAUGGUCCAUGAUGCUCCC